GUCUCCUUCACUGCGUUGCAAACUUCUGACUGAAAUCAAUAUACCCUCUGCAAGGGUAUAAUAAAUAACACUGUUAAAGUACAUAUCGAAAUAGGCCACGUUAAAUAAGGCUGCGUUUACACUGGGGUUUAGUUUCGUGUUUAUCGACAUGACUUCGGGUCAUGGUAUUGGGGCAUACUAAUAUGAAAACUAACACUAGGAAAUUAAUUGUCUUUUUAAAAACUUCUGAUAUCUACCAAAUAGAUACACUUUCUAAUUUUUUUUAUUUUGGACGCUUCAUCAAAAUCGUACAGAUAAUUGCCCACACACACAUAUUGUAUUGUGGCGUGCCGACGGACAAAAUGGCUAGAUGAACUCGUCUAGUGAUGCUGAUCAAGAAUAUAUAUACUACACUGCGUUGGAAAGCAUUAUACCCUCAGCAAGGGUAUACCAAUUGACAUAACGCUGUAGCCGAGUACCUCGACUAUCAGAUACCCAGAUUAAAGGGUGCGCAAAGGAGAUGAAGAUAUUCAAGCAGCAAAGCGACUUUUUUUGAGAUUACAAGGCGCCACCUAGCGGCGAUUACCACAUUUGGUCAUAUGGGCGUCAGACAGAUUUAAGCGUUGUGGGCGUUUGUGUGCGUUAGAGUGGCAAUCUCUUUUCCAGGUCCAUCAAUAGUCUCAUCAAUUUUGGUCAUUUUUGGAUCUGCAAGUUCACCACCAACGCAAGGAGAGUUAUGUUAAGAUCGCCAGCUACAAGGACAUGUCUAUGAACGAUGGUUAAAGGACCUAGAACGUGCAUAAAGUUUCAGCAGACCACACCAAAUUUUCAUAUCAUGCAAAACCAUAUUUCCCUAUAAAACAAAGUUUGUAAGGAAAAUCGGUGGGAAACUGCAAUGUUUAACUGAAAAGAACACGAUAUUGUCAUAUGAAUAAACAUGUAU
Molecule: long non-coding RNA, 922 nt
Organism: Drosophila suzukii
Lineage: Eukaryota; Metazoa; Arthropoda; Insecta; Diptera; Drosophilidae
Source: RefSeq, a predicted model, not a curated record